GGCCCGCACAAGCGGUGGAGUAUGUGGUUUAAUUCGACGCAACGCGCAGAACCUUACCCAGUCUUGACAUGCCCUGAAAAACCUAGAGAUAGGUCCUUUUCUUCGGAAACAGGUGCACAGGUGCUGCAUGGCUGUCGUCAGCUCGUGUCGUGAGAUGUUCGGUUAAGUCCGGUAACGAGCGCAACCCCUUCCAUUAGUUGCUAGUGAACUCUAAUGGUACUGCCGGUGUCAAACCGGAGGAAGGUGGGGAUGACGUCAAGUCCUCAUGGCCCUUUUGACUGGGGCUACACACGUACUACAAUGGCACUUACAAAGGGCUGCGAAACCGCGAGGUGGAGCUAAUCCCAAAAAAGGUGCCUCAGUUCGGAUUGGAGUCUGCAACUCGACUCCAUGAAGUUGGAAUCGCUAGUAAUCGCGUAU
Molecule: ribosomal RNA, 420 nt
Filed under: uncultured bacterium
Lineage: Bacteria
Description: bacterial SSU rRNA
Rfam family: Bacterial small subunit ribosomal RNA
Source: RNAcentral